Molecule: ribosomal RNA, 425 nt
Filed under: uncultured bacterium
Lineage: Bacteria
Description: partial 16S ribosomal RNA
Rfam family: Bacterial small subunit ribosomal RNA
Source: RNAcentral
GUGGGGAAUCUUGCGCAAUGGGCGAAAGCCUGACGCAGCCAUGCCGCGUGAAUGAUGAAGGUCUUAGGAUUGUAAAAUUCUUUCACCGGGGACGAUAAUGACGGUACCCGGAGAAGAAGCUCCGGCUAACUUCGUGCCAGCAGCCGCGGUAAUACGAAGGGGGCUAGCGUUGCUCGGAAUUACUGGGCGUAAAGGGCGCGUAGGCGGACAGCUUAGUCAGAGGUGAAAGCACAGGGCUCAACCUUGGAAUUGCCUUUGAUACUGGCUGUCUUGAGUUUGGGAGAGGUGAGUGGAACUCCGAGUGUAGAGGUGAAAUUCGUAGAUAUUCGGAAGAACACCAGUGGCGAAGGCGACUCACUGGCCCAAUACUGACGCUGAGGCGCGAAAGCGUGGGGAGCAAACAGGAUUAGAAACCCGUGUAGUCC